Molecule: long non-coding RNA, 5556 nt
Organism: Diceros bicornis minor
Lineage: Eukaryota; Metazoa; Chordata; Mammalia; Perissodactyla; Rhinocerotidae
Exons: 2
Source: RefSeq, a predicted model, not a curated record
AAAGUCACCAGGUGUCUAAUGGAAGGUGUAUAAUUUGUGGGAGGCUGGAAUUAGUAGCCAGAAGGAACUAGAAUAACAGAAUUUCAGACAUUUACAUCUUUUUUUGGAGGAGUGAGGAAUUUGGAACUUGCCAGAGCAUGCAAAGAGGGUUUGAGUCAAUCUUAUUGAGCUCUUAAGGGGCUGGAAGAUUUUAGUUGACACUGAUGUUGCAUGCCCAUUAAGCAGUUUCAGCAAGAACACCUGAAGAGCUGAGUUUAAUCAAACCAGUGGCAAGUGAUAUAUUAUUAACUGGCAGCUAUUUCUGGCACCUCGCAUAGUGUCAGGUACAUGGUUGUCCCUGAAUAAAUAAUUGUCUUUUGAAUAAAAAUAAUGAAUAAAUGAAUGACUGGUUGUUUUUAAACAACAAUAAUUACUAGCUAGAAGUCACUGCAUUAUUUCAUUCUGUUGUGCUCAUAAAUAAUCAGAAACUCUUUCCCACUGCCACAUUGUUUAUAUCUUUAUCUUGUGACUUAGAGCAUAGGCUACAGAUGGUAGCUAAUGCCUUCUAGUUUGUGACCAUGGCACCUAAUGCAUGUGUCAUGACUAAGACCAAAAAGAAGGUGGUACUCAAUUCAUCAAAUUCCACAUACUGAGGUUAAUUUGGUGAGAUAAUGCACAUCAAAUGCAAAGCACAAAGUCUGUCAUGGCCAAUGUUUAUUCUUUUCCUUCCAAAAAUUUUGCAUUAACCAUUUUCUAAAAUGAAAAGCUUCUUAUAAUGCGUCAUAACUUUUAAACCCAAUUUUGGGUUGAACACAUUUUGUUCUAUUUUCAGAACAUAUUAAACUCUUUUUUUCUUUCUUUUGGUGAUUUAUUUUCAUGAGCAUUCAUUUACCCUGCAAGUAUUUACUGAGUGCACAUUUCCAGACUGUGAUGCAAUGGUGGUCUUGAGGGCAGGCAAUUGACAACAUUCUUCGUUGCAAAUAACAGAAUCUGCUCUACUAGUUAAGUAAUAAAAUAAAUGUAUUCCAAGGUAUUAGAGAGCUCACAGCAUUAUAGAGGACAAGAGAAUUAGAUAUGGAGCCCCCUAAGCAGCACGAAUGAUGCUUAAAUGGUACCACUGGUCACUCUAGGCGAGACCCAAGUGCUGCUACCACCAGGCACCAGUUUUACAGAUUUCACCACAGGUGCUCUGUGCAGGGUGCUAUUUCCUGACCUCAGCCACUGCUUCAUCUGAAAUAUGAGUUCUUUCUGCUACACUUUGUCACUAUAACCAGGAAAUGGAUUCCAUAUGGCAACUACUUUCUCUCCCAAAUCCAAGUUGAGGAUAUGUGAUUGGUGGAGUUGAGGUCACAUGUCCAUGUCUUAGUUACAAGGGUGUCUGAAAAAGUAAAUAAGUGAAUUCUGGCUUCUACCUGAGGGAGGCAGACUUAUAAUGUAGUGUUGGGGCCCAGGGCAGGCCACCCCCAAAUAUCCCACAAUGGCAUAUUGAUUAUUUUGAAUUAAAGUUACUUAUUCUACUUGAAAAUUUGACCCUUCUCUUUCUGUUCCCUCUGAAAGCAGGAAAUAAAUCUCCCAUGUAAAAUUACCCUACCUGCACCAGGAGAUAGAGACAUCCUUAUCACCAGAGCUAGGGAAUUUAGGGCUAAGAAGGCUGUAUAAACAAACCUUGUUGCUUUUACUAAUUUACUUCCUCAAGCCUAAAUUCUGCUCAAUUCCUCACUAAUUACAUACCCAAACUUAAGUUUCCCUGUCCUAGCAAAUCCUCACAAAUUUGUUGUUUUUUGUUUGUGUAAAAAGAUAUAUAAAAUGCCUGCUUUGUUCAUUCUCUGGGCAUCAAUUUUUAUGAUCUCCUGUGCUGCAUAUUAAAUUGUUUUUUCUCCUGCUAAUCUACUCUUAUGUCGCUUUUAUUAUUAGUCCAGAACUCAAGAAGGGUAGUGAGGGGGAUUUCCCCCUCCCUGACAGUGGGAAAUUCUGCAAACAUAGAAAGGCUGUUCAAAACAUGCUAGGUAGCCACACCACAUGACAUACAUCCUCCAUGGCCGUGGAAUCAUGUAUGAGCAUAUGCUGAAGCAUAUUUUGGAGAAGGCAUUAUCUCCUCUAAAGGAUCUUAGCUUGCUGCUCUGUUUUACUAGCUCUUUCUUGGCCUUGUCUCUUCUUUACUCUUAGAAGUCAUUUCUCCCCAGUACUGAUUACAGGAAAAGAAUGUUUAUUCUUAUUAGUCAUGACAGGAGUUCAACAAUUUGUUGAACUCCUAAUAUGUUAUGGGCUAUAUGCAAGAGAGCUUUACAUUUUCUUUAAAUUUAUUCUUCAUAAAACCUUCAUAAACCUGUGAGAUAGAUAUUCAUCCACCCUUGAAUUUUAUAGGUGAGGAAACAGGCUCAGAGCAGUUAAGGUGUCUUCCUGGGAUCCAUGGUGCAAUACAGAGUGAAUGACAGAGCUGGAAUUUGAGCCCAGGCCCCCAGGACUUCAACCCUAGUACUCUUCUUGCCCAUUAUAUUAAAUCUUUCUCUUAAGUUCACACAAAAUAGUUGAUCGAUAGACUAUGAAUUGUCCUCUAGGUUGAUUAAUUACUUAUAGGUAACUAGACUGACAUCUCUUUCCUCUACCAAUAAAUGAGUGAAUGGUUCUGAAUUCAUAUAAGAGAUUCAAAAAUAUGAACAAAGUGAUUGCCACAUGGUGGCACCCCUUCCAGAGAAAAAUCCACCUGCAGUGGAUUAUGUAAACUCUGUAAGUUCUGAAUAAAGCAAGCUGGGAUUGCUGAUCUUGCAAGAAAUGCAAUGGGGAUUCAAGAACAAGUAAGGCUCAGUCUCCACCUGCAGGGGUGCAGAGUCAGACAGGGUCCCAAUUAGUUGCUCUGUGGGUCUGGUUUGAUCAGUCUCUGGUAACUCUAACUAGUGCCUAUCCUUUGACUUAUCUCCUAAUCUCCCUCACCUUCAUCUUCUUAUCUACUAACACCAAAUAGUGAAAUUGCAGCUUUAAGUCUCUUUCCUCUUUCAAACUUCAAUGACUCUAUAGAUUUGCCUACCAACCCACUUAUCUCAUGAAUAAAGGCUUAACACAGGUUCGUGUCUGCACGAUGAUUACUACAUCUACCUUGAGGAGUCACUAUGGAUACUCAAAUGUGUAUAUUUCUAUGGUUUAUGCUUUCACCAGAGAUGUUGGCUUUUGAUAAUAUUAGCUAAGUCUGAUUUCCUGUAAAAUUCACAUACACUUUUAAAAUUCAAAGACUCUUUUAUUUCCUAAUAGACAUGAAUGAUUUUUAUCUUGAAAGAGACAUAUUGUUAUUUUUAUAAAAAUAGGUUUGAGAAAAAUGUAAAACAAACAAUAUUUUUCCCUCCACAGAACCUACUUUUGUGUGUUUGUGCAGAGACACUCAAACUGUGUUCCAUGGCAUACCCAGGACAUGUGUGAGGGGCUCCCAGGGGAUGGGGUAGAGGGAGAGCUGGGGGUACCCACAGAAUCACAGCCCUUACCCACUUCCCCAGGACCACUCUGCUUGACCUUGUUCUAUGUCGACUUUCAUUUGAAAAAAGAAUUCCACUGCUCACAUGAGUUUGGAAGCCGCUGAGGCAGAGAAGGAUUGAGAAACAGCAAUUGUUCCUAGUCAUGGAUGAUGUGAAGGGAGUAGGUUAGGAUGCACCUUCAGACCUUUUCACACUUGGGUUUCAGUUAGCUUUUUUCCCCCAAGAAACAAAUUCUCAGCAUCCAACAUAUCCAUAUUCGUUUGUCAGUUCAAAAUUGUGUUCAAAUCAAGUAUAUAUUGCUUGAGCAAAUCUGCCAUUUUGGAUUACUCCCAGGCCAUUUUGUCCAUGAAAACAAAUCCUAGAAACGUCGUUUUCCCCAAAUAAUUUAGGUGAGGGAUUCUUGCAGUAAAUUAGGGAGGACUAACAUCGUGUGGUACACUCAAUUUGCACUCUCGUUUCUGGGAGGUGUCAGAGGUGUUGUGUAAAUCUUCCUGGAUUUCCUAUUUUUCUGGAAAUUUCUAAUUCAGUUUGUAAAACUUGAGUUUUCCUGUGGCUAAGAUUGUCACAUUGGGUCUCCAGUUCUUACUCUGCCUUUUUUUACCCCACUUAGCAAAAUUUCUUCUGCUCUGUUUCAAAAUGGGGAAGGGACUUUAAAAACACCUGCAAGUGUUCCACUGGUUUUUUUCCAACUCCCCUCAGCCUCAAUUGCUCUAGGGCUGACACAAAUGUCAGCUUCGAGUGGGUAGAAUAUUCCCUUCUCUGCGUGUGGGUAUUUUUUCUCUGUGCCUGGAUCUGCCUAUGGGUUUGAUCUCUCCCAAGCGCUGGAAAUGUGUGGUUGACAUUAUGUUGUGCGUGACUUGCAUAUAAUUGGCCAAUAUCACGUCUGGCUACACUUGUCACUGAUCGCAGGAUUCAUUUCAUUCUUUUCCUACAUUUGGAGACUCGGGGAUCUCUCUGCUUCCCCCGUACACGCACACAGUAACCAAUGACCUUUAUUCUUGCCUCCUUUUAAUGGUGCUGUGGCCCUGCUCCUCGGAGCCUCAGCGAACCACCAGCUGACAGCUCAGUGGAGAGAGCACAAUGACCCCCGAAGCAGAGCUGGACUCAUUAGCAGGCUUCUCAGGCCCCUCUGUGCACAGUGGACAUCGCAGUAGAUGGAGAGGAGAUUUGGGAACCCUGAACCAUUGUGUGAGAAGUCUGACCACCUGAAGCUGCUAAGCUUGUGAGACCUCAUGGAGAGGCCACGUAGAAACAAAGAGUUGUCCAGGGAGCCCCACUGCUCCAGCCACACCUAUUUGAGAUGACCCCAGAGUCAGCCACCAGCUGACUGAGACUUCAUGAGAGACCCCGAGACAGAACUUCUCAGCUGAGAUGCUCCCAAAUUCCUGGCCCACAUAAGAGAUAAUCAAUGAUUAUUUUUGUUUCAAGCCACAAAGUUUUGGGGUGACUUAUUAUACAACAAUUGAUAACUAAUAUAGAAAGUUUCAUAGUCAAUAAUCAUUAUAGUCUUCUUUAUUAAUUAGUUUACAACAAUUUGAUUGUCUAACAUUUUUGUAGUACUAGUUCUAACUUUUAUUGUGAAUUUGAUAUGUGUCAAGCACUAUCCUUAGUGCAUUGCAUAUAUUAACUCACUUAACUGUCACAGCAACAAUGUUUAAUUAUCAAUGCUACAUGUGUAAAAGGAAGCAUAGAGAAGUGAAGUAAUUUGCUUGAUGUCACACAGCUAGUAAGUGAUAGAUGAGGAAUUAAAAAAUCAAGGGCCAGCCCUGAUGGCCUAGUGGUUAAAGUUCAGCACUCACAGCUUCAGUGGGUCAGGUUUGGUUCCUGGGUGUGGAACCACACUACUUGUCUGUCAGUUGCCGUGCUGUGGCAGCAGCUCACAUAGAAGAACUAGAACAACUUACAACUAGGAUAUACAACCAUGCACUGGGACUUUGGGGAGGAAAAAAGAAGAGGAAGAUUGGCAACAGAUAUUAGCUGAGGGAGAAUCUUAAAAAAAAAAAAAAUCAAGUACAUGCAUUAUUCCAUCAAGUCUAAAAUCACAAAGUCACACAGAAUCAUUUUUUGAAAACUGCCAGGACUUUAUAAUAAAAAUGGGAUUUGUACACAAGAA